GACGAACGCUGGCGGCGUGCUUAACACAUGCAAGUCGAACGGAAAGGCCCUGCUUUUGUGGGGUGCUCGAGUGGCGAACGGGUGAGUAACACGUGAGUAACCUGCCCUUGACUUUGGGAUAACUUCAGGAAACUGGGGCUAAUACCGGAUAGGAGCUCCUGCUGCAUGGUGGGGGUUGGAAAGUUUCGGCGGUUGGGGAUGGACUCGCGGCUUAUCAGCUUGUUGGUGGGGUAGUGGCUUACCAAGGCUUUGACGGGUAGCCGGCCUGAGAGGGUGACCGGCCACAUUGGGACUGAGAUACGGCCCAGACUCCUACGGGAGGCAGCAGUGGGGAAUAUUGCACAAUGGGCGGAAGCCUGAUGCAGCAACGCCGCGUGCGGGACGACGGCCUUCGGGUGGUAAACCGCUUUCGCCUGUGACGAAGCGUGAGUGACGGUAAUGGGUAAAGAAGCACCGGCUAACUACGU
Molecule: ribosomal RNA, 467 nt
Filed under: uncultured bacterium
Lineage: Bacteria
Description: partial 16S ribosomal RNA
Rfam family: Bacterial small subunit ribosomal RNA
Source: RNAcentral